CCUACGGGAGGCAGCAGUGAGGAAUAUUGGUCAAUGGACGAGAGUCUGAACCAGCCAAGUAGCGUGAAGGAUGACUGCCCUAUGGGUUUAAACCUCUUUUAUAAAGGAAUAAAACGAGGCACGUGUGUCUUUUUGCAUGUACUUUAUGAAUAAGGAUCGGCUAACUCCGUGCCAGCAGCCGCGGUAAUACGGAGGCUCCGAGCGUUAUCCGGAUUUAUUGGGUUUAAAGGGAGCGUAGUUGGGAUGUUAAGUCAGUGGUGAAAGUUUGCGGCUCAACCGUGAAAUUGCAAUUGAUACUGGCAGUCUUGAGUACAGGUGAGGUAGGCGGAAUGCGUGGUGUAGCGGUGAAAUGCAUAGAUAUCACGAAGAACCCCGAUUGCGAAGGCAGCUUACUA
Molecule: ribosomal RNA, 395 nt
Filed under: uncultured bacterium
Lineage: Bacteria
Description: partial 16S ribosomal RNA
Rfam family: Bacterial small subunit ribosomal RNA
Source: RNAcentral